UAGCGGUAAAAUGCGCAGAUAUCGGGAGGAACACCGGUGGCGAAAGCGGCACCCUGGGGUGCACCUGACGCUGAGAGACGACAGCUAGGGGAGCGAACAGGAUUAGAGACCCUGGUAGUCCUAGCCGUAAACGAUGGAUGCUAGGUGUGGGAGUGAAGAACUUCUGUGCCGCAGCGAACGCGAUAAGCAUCCCGCCUGGGGAGUACGGCCGCAAGGUUAAAACUCAAACGAAUUGACGGGGACCCGCACAAGCAGCGGAGCGUGUGGUUUAAUUCGAUGCUACACGAAGAACCUUACCUGGGAUUGACAUAUGGGUGGUAGUGAGCCGAAAGGCAAGCGACCCUUCGGGGAGCCUAUACAGGUGCUGCAUGGCUGUCGUCAGCUCGUGCCGUGAGGUGUCGGGUUAAGUCCCGUAACGAGCGCAACCCCUGUCCUUAGUUACAAGUGUCUAAGGGGACUGCCGGCGGGAAGCCGGAGGAAGGUGGGGAUGACGUCAAGUCAGCAUGGCCCUUAUAUCCAGGGCGACACACACGCUACAAUGGUCGGUACAGAGGGCAGCGAAGCCGCGAGGUGGAGCGAAACCCAGAAAGCCGGUCGUAGUUCGGAUUGCAGGCUGCAACACGCCUGCAUG
Molecule: ribosomal RNA, 631 nt
Filed under: uncultured organism
Description: bacterial SSU rRNA
Rfam family: Bacterial small subunit ribosomal RNA
Source: RNAcentral